Oryctolagus cuniculus (rabbit) is the source of this 4223-nucleotide long non-coding RNA. The record is from Ensembl. NCBI's taxonomy places the organism in Eukaryota, Metazoa, Chordata, Mammalia, Lagomorpha, Leporidae.
CAUCUGGGCUGAGGUACAUCUUGUGAUUCAAGAGCCAAGGGAGCACACCAAAGAAAGAAAGCCUGUUUUGGGACAAGAAUUAGACCAAGAAAUAACAGUGCAUCUCCAAUUAAUAGUGAGUGGCCAGAAUGUGGAGCUGACGAUCCAUUGUGACAAAACCUCAGAAGAAAAUUUUGAAUUUGUGAAUGGCUUUUAGCAGAAAUGAGGCAGAGGUAAGUGAUGUUCCCAUGUGGAAAGCCUUCUGUCAGCUUAAUUGGAAAUGUUUUAAGGGAUUUGCAGGUAGAGGGAUCUGUACCUGAGAUCUGGCUCCAGUUCUCACAUCAGGGGGACCUGGGCAAUACUCACUCCACCUUGUUUUGUACAUCAGCAGCAAGUGGAAAUGCAACGCUUUCCUCACAAGUUGAAUGCAUUUGAAAUAAUAAUCAUCCCACCACGUGUGAAUUCAGUGACAUCAGAGGGUUCCAACCUGAUAACUCCUUUGCUCUAAUAAGUAUGAGGAAGUAUUACUUGUAUACGUAUUUAGUCUCUAUAGAAAUCAGAACAAUUCUUGGUUCAGGGAAGAAAGCCUAAGCCAUUGAUUCCAUCUUUCUAAGAGUAAAAUAUUCUCUAUAUGCAUAUAUUGUGGGUCUAAAAGCCAAAAGUCUUCAGAGGGAAUGCUAAGUAUUAAAGAGUGGAUUCCAGGAAAGCCAUUCAAAUGAAGACUCAAGUCUUGUACUUCUCUUGAUAUCCUAAAGGAUAGUCUAUGUCACCGGAGUAGUUUCACGUCAUAUGGAAGAAUGCUGCACAUGACCGUGCACUUUGCUCCUGAUGAUCCAGGAGUGCAGUCCUCUGUACAGGCAAAUGAUGCUGCAAUGAAUACUUCUCUGGUUCACUGAUCGCUCUGCAUGAACCAGUGAAACACAAACAUUUAAACCUGGCUAAAAAGUCUCUAGCCCCCUGGUCUGCCAGAACCAUCAGAAUGGCAGUACCACUGAGCCCUUCGUCCGAUCCAGCCAAUAAAAAUAAUAUGGUUGUGUGUAACCAGGCAUCGCGUUGCCGACUAGCAGAGAACCAGCGGGAAAUGCAAGAUCUGAAAGAGAUAGUUCAUCAUUUCAGCUUCCUCCUCCACCAAGAGGAAAACAAUUAUGGUGAGGGCCAAGAGGUGAUUCAAUCCAGGCUAAGGGAGAAGCCAGCACUUGGAACUCCACAGCUUGAGAAGCUGGCACCUGCUGAGUUCAAGAAAUGCCAUGUAAAUAAGGCACGCACCCGCAAGCGGCGCUGGCUACGUAAGAAGUCAAGAAAACAGACACAGAUUUGUCAUCUCAGCCUACAUCCCAGAGCCCUCCUCACCCAGCAUGACCCUGACAGCCACCACACAUGGGGCUUGCUGGAGCCACUGGUUGUUCACGUCAGGCUGGAAAAGCAUCUUGUCUACAAAUGUAGCCUGGCAAAAGAAAUGACGCAAAUGAAGGGUGGUUGCUGGGACUUAAUCUGCCCCAGCAGGAUCAGUGGGUGCUUUCCACCUCAAGUAGAGCCUGAGUUGGUACCAGGGCUGAUCAUGGGUGAAUAUUGUUGGUGCAUCAUCAUGAAAGCCACGCUGGUUAUGCAGCAGCAUUAUCCUGGUGGUGGCUGGACGAUAGUGCUGGAAGAGUACUCGUGGUGCACAAGGUUUGGAGUCUAUGGGAAUUCCCUUGAGGACAGAGUGCCACAUGAAGCCAAACCUGUAUUGUGUGAAAGCCGAUCUCUAGCUGAAGGGCAUCGCAUCAUGGCAUGCACACACCUUGCAGAUGCACCUUACAUGUGGCAUGCCUCCUGGGGGGACAAGCUGGAAAUACUGUUCCAGGCCUGGGCCAGGGUCCAGCAGCCCUUAGCCCAGCAGUCCAUCCACUGGAUAGAGGCCAUUGAGGGGUAUGAUACCUCCUCCCAAAAGGAUGAAGUGGUAUCUGCAGACAGAGCUGAGGUUAUCCCCAGGGUGUGUGGAGAUCCACCCCCACUGGAAGGGCCAGAUACCAUCGUGCCCAUCCUCAAGGAAGAUGGAUCCUACCUGCUCUGUGGAUUUUGGGCUGAUGAGCCUGAAGCACCAGCCCAGGCCUGGUCUGAGACUGUGAAAUGUACAAUCCAGCAGCCCAUCUGCUGUGCUGAGGCCAUUGUGGUGGAAGACCUUUCCUACAAAAAGGAGGAAGGGGAGGUGGCAACUGCAGUCCAGGCUGAGCUUAUCCCCAGGGUGUGUGGAGAUCCACCCCCACUGGAAAGGCCAGAUGUCAUCCUGCCUAUCCUGAAGGAUGACGGGUCCUACAUGCUCUGUGGAUAUUGGGCUGAUGGGUCUGGAACACCAGCGCAGGUUUCUGCUGAGCCUUGGCACCUUACAACCCAGCAGCCCAUCUGCUGUGCUGAGGCCAUUGUGGUGGAAGAUGCCUCAAGCCAAAAGGAGGAAGGAGAGGUGGCAUCUCCAGACCUGGCCGAGGCAAACCCCAGGGUGUGUGGAGAUCCACCCCCACUGGAAGGGCCAGAUGUCAUCGUGCCUAUCCUCAAGGAUGAUGGGUCCUACAUGCUCUGUGGAUUUUGGGCAGAUGAUGAUGCUGAAGCUCCAAUCUGGGCCUGUGCUGGGGCCUGGCACCCUACAAUCCAGCAGCCCAUCUGCUGUGCUGAGGCCAUUGUGGUGGAAAACCCCUACCACCAAAAGGAGGAAGUGGAGUUGGCAUCUACAGACCAGGCGGAGGCUAUCCCCAGGGUGGGUGAAGAUCCACCUCCACUGGAAGGGCCAGAUGCCAUCGUGCCUGUCCUCAAGGAUGACGGGUCCUACGUGCUCUGUGCAUAUUGGGCAGAUGAACCUGAAGCACCAGACCAGGCCUGGGCUAGGGCCUGGCACUUUACAACCCGGCAACCCCUCUGCUGUGCUGAGGCCAUUGUGGUGGAAGACUCCUCAAACAAAAAGGAGAAAGUCAAGGGGGCAUCCUCAGAUCAGGCUGAGGCUAUGUCCAGGGUGGGUGAAGAUCCACCCCCACUGGAAGGGCCAGAUGUCAUCGUGCCUAUCCUCAAGGAUGAUGGGUCCUACAUGCUCUGUGGAUUUUGGGCUGAUGAGUCUGAAGCACCAGUCCAGGCCUGUGCUGAGCUCUGGCACCUUGCAACCCAGAAGCCCAUUUGCUGUGCUGAAGCCAUUGCAGGUGAGUCCUUUGAUGUGACUCUAGCUGCAGACCUGAUAAACCUCCUGAGUGCACCUGGUGACCCUGUUAUGCUUUCUUGAACACUGCUGGGAAAGAUUGUGAUGGGGUAGGCUGAACCAUGGGGCAGAUCUAGAUUGACAGAGACAGAACCUGGGGUAGAGUUUGCUGCACUAAUUUAGGCAUGUGUUAUUUAACCAGAGAUCCCCAUGUUAUGCCCCAUGCUCAGCAGUGAAUCCGACCAUGUCACUGUGCCCAAAGCAGGUGUGAUGGCAUGGCCCGGGCUUUGGAGCCUGUGCUCAUUCAUGUGACAGGGUUUUCUUCCAGGCCUCCACUUGAAGAGUGGGAUGCCUUUUAUCAGUGCAGGCUUCCUUGUGAAACCUCUGCCCCAUUUGGUUACCAAGACACUGCAUGCCUGCCAGGACAGCUAUUCUGGCUACUUUCUCAGCCUGAGAUCUCCACCAGAUCCCGCUGAGUAGGGUCACACUCUCUCACGUUCCCACUGUGGUGAUGUCAUUCCAGAUCAGGAAUCCUCAGCCAUGUAUUGAGAGUUCCAUCCUGAAGUAGUCAGUACUGGCCUCGUGUCUAUCUGGAUGCUCUAAGGGGCACAGUGUCUGCCUGGCACCGAAAGACGUCAGUGCUGUGAGCCCCUGUUGGAUUCACAUGUUCAUAUUGCAGCAGAGUGUGUGUACCUGGGAAUCUCCCACUUUGGAUGUUGCAUGGGAUGGUCCUCCCAUUGUGUGUUUGGUCUCUUAGAACAUAUCUGACUCACAGGCCAAGGACACAUAUGGUUGAAAAUAGCUGACCACUUGUGGAAGAUCAGGAUGCCUGUUUUGUGUUAUGAAAAACUUCCCAGGUAGGGAGGGAGGGCUACAUUGUUAGACAGAGGACUUGCCAUUCCAGGUUUGUCCUCCUGUGAGUGAGGCUGUGGCUAACACAGGCAGUUCCACAACUUGACAGCAUAGGUGUCUUCAGAAGCUGUGUGACAGUGGGUGGUGCCUUACUUUAUGCCAUCUCAUGUACAUGUCAUCCCAUUGACCACAUCCUGUCCGAUUUGCACUCUCUGCAGUGGAAGAGCCCUCC